This is a long non-coding RNA of Rhinolophus ferrumequinum (greater horseshoe bat), 1242 nucleotides long. RefSeq lists it as uncharacterized. Lineage: Eukaryota; Metazoa; Chordata; Mammalia; Chiroptera; Rhinolophidae. The transcript is spliced from 3 exons. The record is from RefSeq and is a predicted model, not a curated record.
AGCGCUGAGGCCCCGCGGGGCUCCUGCCCCGCGAUAGGGGCCAUCGGGGCGUCUCCGGCCAGCUCGGGGCUCGGGGUGCCCUGGCCCGAAGACAGACUACCCAGUUUUCCGCCUUCUGCGCUGGAGACUCCGGAGUGCUCCUCAGAGACCGGAACGUGCCUCAGGUCCCUGGGUGGAAGGCAGCAGAUGGGUGAUGGCUGUGGACAGAGGGCAGUGAGCCAGGGUGACGUGCAGAGAGCUUGGCGUGGCCGCCCAUGAGCAGAUCCCCAGAGAAGAAACAGGCAGCAGCCUGGCCAGUCUACUCACAGACAUGAGGCCCCCGACCAGGUCGCUGGCAUGAGGGUCGUCGUCCUUAGCACCGAACUGCGUUCUAGGCACAGGAUGCACGUGCCCCCAGACCGAAUGUCUGAUGUCACCGGCCACAGAGAAAACAGAGGAGACGACAAUCUAGUAAGCCAAGGCCAAACAGUCUCUUUCGUGUUUCUAACAAUAAGGCUUUAUAACUAUGCAGCUUGCCACUCUCCAGGAGUGAAAAUGUUUUGGAAGACAGUUACACAGACUCUUUGUUUCAUAUAUGGCAAAGUGAUAAAUACAACUCAUCAUGAACUGAAAUACGAUGAAUUUCUGGUUACAGUUUUCAAGGCAGCCUUUGCUGCUUUCCACGGUUGUGCUUUAUCUAGACUAAUUAGGUAAAUACCUCAAACAAGGCAAGCAGUACCGCUUAAGCUUUAAAAGUCUUAAUUUUUUGUUGCUCCUGUCAAGGUGGGGUUCCUUUGGGGUAGGUGGUGGGGGAACCUGGGCACUGCCAAAGCAGGAAAAAAUAAUCAUAAGAGUUCUGUCUGUCCCCCUGAAAUCCCGUCAGGCCAAAUACUCUGUACCACAGACCUUGCAGGACCACCGUCUAGUGUAGCAGCUUUGUGUUUCCAGAUUGAGGCCGAAAGAGAAACACUGCAAGGUUGACCAAUGCUAAUUUGGUGACCAGCAUAUGGUUGUCAACUUUCCAUUGUACCCAACUGGUCAUUAAACCAAAAAUAAAAACCACUAUUAUUUUAUCACCAUAUCAUGAAAUGACUUCUCAUUUAAAAAUGUAACGAAAGUGACAUGCUUACAAAAAGCAAAUAGUGUAAGUAAAGUUAGAAAAAGAAAAGGUAUGAAGAUUGUCAUGACUCUGAAUGCAGAAACGUCCAACAGAACGUACUAAAUCCAUUCUUAGUAUCACUGAGCGCUGGCAGCAAAGAGAGG